This is a long non-coding RNA of Choloepus didactylus (southern two-toed sloth), 1062 nucleotides long. RefSeq lists it as uncharacterized. Lineage: Eukaryota; Metazoa; Chordata; Mammalia; Pilosa; Megalonychidae. The record is from RefSeq and is a predicted model, not a curated record. The transcript has 3 exons.
AGCUCUGCAUGCCCCACUGUGCUUGAGAGAGGAUAGAGGAAUCUGUGCUGCCUGAGGAUGGGGUAUUUAUAUGACCCAGGGUGGGGCGCCCACCUGAUAAGCAGCUGGGGCUGCCCGUUCCCAGUGUCUGGGUCCAAGGCCUAGGCAGGCCUUUCGUUAGAUCUGACAUCUCCCUGGGCUGCAAAAUGGAAACAGCUGAAGCAUCUGCACACAGUAGGAAAGGAGCUAGAGACAGGGCUGGGAGGUGGCCAGUGGCCAUUGUCUGUGACCUUCCCAGCGCCCACUGCAAGUCAGACUUGGAGAAGACAGUGGUGGGAUCCCCACCUCUGUCGGCUUUGAGCGGGUGGUCUUGGAUGCCUGGGAUAGGGGCCUGUCCUUCAGUGCUUCCUCAAAGCCAGGAGCUGACCAGUGGAGGUGAGACAAUGUCAUCCCUCAAAACCAACUCUCACAAAUCAGGAGCAUUCUUAAAAUAGAUCUGUAAAUAGGCCAGUAGCAGCGAUUUGUGUUUGUGUAUGUCUGACGCUUACAAAGCUCUUUGACAUAUGACCUGUGAUCUCAUUCCAUCUUCACAGGUGAGGAAAAGAGCUCAGUGUGCUCAUGUGACAUGUUCUCACAGGAAGUGCUAAUAUGGUCAAAUCCUGAGUGCAUAGACCUACCAGGAGGGAGAGAAGCUGACCACACUCUCACAGAGAAGGUUGCCCUUCAACAACGAGAGAUGUGUCAAUCCAACCAACUGAAGGCUUUAAAUGGAGAAGUGAUAAUUUCAACAGUCAGAAGAGAGAACUUUCAACUCUACUUCAGCGAGUCAGCUUCUCUGGAAUUCAUCCAAAAUCUUCAUCAGAGUUCCCAGCUUGUGGCCUGACCUAUGGAAUUGGCACUUGCCUAUCUCCGCAGUCAUUUUUGACUGCGAAUAAUACCCGCGAGACUCGUGUGAGGCCCGACUUGAGGGUGGGAAACUUAUUUCCAUGUUACCACUGUAACAAGCACUCAGACAUCCCUUUGUAUCUGAUUCCUCUGCUUUUAGAGUCCCCUGAGCAAUCUCUUAUACCUAUAACAUCCCAC